Molecule: ribosomal RNA, 296 nt
Filed under: uncultured bacterium
Lineage: Bacteria
Description: partial 16S ribosomal RNA
Rfam family: Bacterial small subunit ribosomal RNA
Source: RNAcentral
GGAUUAGAUACCCUGGUAGUCCACGCCGUAAACGAUGUGCACUAGAUAUUGCGGGUAUUGACCCCUGCAGUGUCGCAGCUAACGCAUUAAGUGCACCGCCUGGGGAGUACGAGCGCAAGCUUAAAACUCAAAGGAAUUGACGGGGGCCCGCACAAGCGGUGGAUUAUGUGGUUUAAUUCGAAGCAACGCGCAGAACCUUACCUGGGCUUGAACUCCUGAGAAUCCUCCCCAAAAGGAGGAGUGCCCUUCGGGGAAUUCAGUGAGAGGCGCUGCAUGGCUGUCGUCAGCUCGUGCCG